This 208-nucleotide ribosomal RNA is filed under the name uncultured bacterium. RNAcentral's name for it is "partial 16S ribosomal RNA". It matches the Rfam family "Bacterial small subunit ribosomal RNA", at positions 568 to 774 of the family's 1533-position model. The record is from RNAcentral.
CGCGUAGGCGGCCACCGCAAGUCGACUGUGAAAUCUCCGGGCUUAACCCGGAACGGUCAGCCGAUACUGCGGGGCUAGAGUGCAGUAGGGGCAACUGGAAUUCUCGGUGUAGCGGUGAAAUGCGUAGAUAUCGAGAGGAACACCUGCGGCGAAGGCGGGUUGCUGGGCUGACACUGACGCUGAUGUGCGAAAGCUAGGGGAGCGAACG